Non-coding RNA from Phrynosoma platyrhinos (Desert horned lizard), 70 nucleotides. The record is from the annotation of a GenBank genome assembly. NCBI's taxonomy places the organism in Eukaryota, Metazoa, Chordata, Lepidosauria, Squamata, Phrynosomatidae.
GCAAGCGUGGUGAAGUGGUUUGAGCAUUGGAGUACAACUCAAGAUCAGGGUUCAAUUCCCUGCUCGAGCA